This 488-nucleotide ribosomal RNA is filed under the name Niphe elongata. RNAcentral describes it as "partial 16S ribosomal RNA". It matches the Rfam family "Bacterial large subunit ribosomal RNA", at positions 1923 to 2618 of the family's 2925-position model. Lineage: Eukaryota; Metazoa; Arthropoda; Insecta; Hemiptera; Pentatomidae. The record is from RNAcentral.
UUAAAUAGCCGCAGUAUUCUGACUGUGCGAAGGUAGCAUAAUCAUUUGUCUUUUAAUUGAAGGCUUGUAUGAAUGGUUGGAUGAGGGAAUUACUUUCUUUGUAUUAAAUUUUUGAAUUUAACUUUUUAGUUAAAAGGCUAAAAUGUUUAAAUGGGACGAGAAGACCCUAUAGAAUUUUAUUAUUCAUAAAUUUUGUAACUUUAUGGUUAUUUAUAUAUUUACUAUUUUGUGAAUAAUUUUGUUGGGGCGACAGUGAGAUAUAUUUAACUCUCAUAAUUUAUUUAUUAUUGAUUUAUAUAUUAAUGAUCCUAUUGUAAGGAUAAAUAGAUUAAAUUACCUUAGGGAUAACAGCGUAAUUUUUCUGGAGAGUUCUUAUCAAUGGAGAAGUUUGCGACCUCGAUGUUGGAUUAAAAUUAGAUUUAAGUGCAGAAGCUUAAUUUCUAGGUCUGUUCGACCUUUAAAAUUUUACAUGAUCUGAGUUCAAACCG